Molecule: ribosomal RNA, 375 nt
Filed under: uncultured organism
Description: partial 16S ribosomal RNA
Rfam family: Bacterial small subunit ribosomal RNA
Source: RNAcentral
GUAGGUGGCAAGCGUUGUCCGGAAUUAUUGGGGCGUAAAGCGCGCGCAGGUGGUUCUUUAAGUCUGAUGUGAAAGCCCCCCGGGCUCAACCGGGGAGGGUCAUUGGAAACUGGGGAACUUGAGUGCAGGAGAGGAAAGUGGAAUUCCACGUGUAGCGGUGAAAUGCGUAGAUAUGUGGAGGAACACCAGUGGCGAAGGCGACUUUCUGGCCUGUAACUGACACUGAGGCGCGAAAGCGUGGGGAGCAAACAGGAUUAGAUACCCUGGUAGUCCACGCCGUAAACGAUGAGUGCUAAGUGUUGGGGGGUUUCCGCCCCUCAGUGCUGCAGCUAACGCAUUAAGCACUCCGCCUGGGGAGUACGGUCGCAAAGACUG